Molecule: ribosomal RNA, 253 nt
Filed under: uncultured bacterium
Lineage: Bacteria
Description: partial 16S ribosomal RNA
Rfam family: Bacterial small subunit ribosomal RNA
Source: RNAcentral
UACGGAGGGUGCAAACGUUGCUCGGAAUCAUUGGGCGUAAAGCGCACGUAGGCGGUUUGCUAAGUCGGAUGUGAAAGCCCUCAGCUUAACUGAGGAAGUGCACUCGAAACUGGCAGUCUUGAGUAUGGAAGAGGGUCGCGGAAUUCCCGGUGUAGAGGUGAAAUUCGUAGAUAUCGGGAGGAACACCAACGGCGAAGGCAGCACUCUGGGCCGGUACUGACGCUGAGGAGCGAAAGCGUGGGGAGCAAACAGG